UACGGAGGGUGCAAGCGUUAUCCGGAUUCACUGGGUUUAAAGGGAGCGUAGGUGGGCUUGUAAGUCAGUGGUGAAAUCUCCGAGCUUAACUUGGAAACUGCCAUUGAUACUACUAGUCUUGAAUACUGUGGAAGUAAGCGGAAUAUAUCAUGUAGCGGUGAAAUGCUUAGAUAUGAUAUAGAACACCGAUAGCGAAGGCAGCUUACUACGCAGUUAUUGACACUGAGGCUCGAAAGCGUGGGGAUCAAACAGGAUUAGAUACCCUGGUAGUCCACGCCCUAAACUAUGGAUACUCGACAUCAGCGAUACACAGUUGGUGUCUGAGCGAAAGCAUUAAGUAUCCCACCUGGGAAGUACGUCCGCAAGGAUGAA
This 372-nucleotide ribosomal RNA is filed under the name uncultured bacterium. Its description in RNAcentral is "bacterial SSU rRNA". It matches the Rfam family "Bacterial small subunit ribosomal RNA", at positions 524 to 898 of the family's 1533-position model. The record is from RNAcentral.